AUACGGAGGAUGCAAGCGUUAUCCGGAUUUAUUGGGUUUAAAGGGUGCGUAGGCGGAUGAUUAAGCGUGAGGUGAAAUGCCACUGCUCAACAGUGGAACUGCCUCGCGAACUGGUUGUCUUGAAUGCUCCUGCCGUGGGAGGAAUGUGUGGUGUAGCGGUGAAAUGCAUAGAGAUCACACAGAACACCGAUUGCGAAGGCAUCUCACGAAGGGGAGAUUGACGCUGAGGCACGAAAGCGUGGGGAUCAAACAGGAUUAGAUACCCUGGUAGUCCACGCAGUAAACGAUGAUAACUAACCGCUGGGUCGUAGUGAUUCAGUGGCCAAGCGAAAGCGAUAAGUUAUCCACCUGGGGAGCACGACCGCAAGGUUGAAACUCAAAGGAAUUGGCGGGG
RNAcentral lists this ribosomal RNA (394 nucleotides) under uncultured bacterium. RNAcentral's name for it is "partial 16S ribosomal RNA". It matches the Rfam family "Bacterial small subunit ribosomal RNA", at positions 523 to 918 of the family's 1533-position model. The record is from RNAcentral.